GCAAGGGAGGAGGUGAAGGAGAGAGGAAUAAAGAAAGGGGUUGAGGGUCUUGCAGGAGGGAAGAAGGCAGCACACCUCUAGAAGAUCGGGAGCUAAAACAAAUGCCUAAUCAGUCAGCAGACAUGGAUAACUUGUAGUGAAACAACCGAGGGUGAGGAAAAUAGGCCAGCCAAGAAAUGAAAAUACCCUUCAAAGUGGAAAGGAGAGGUUCGCAAGAGAAGGAGGAUGGAGGGUAAAUCCUACCUUGGCAGGAAAAAGAUGAUUGAGUCGACUAUGGCAAUUGAUAUCUGCACUGUUUGAUUAUUUAUUACCAACACGAUUCUUACUUAAAUACCUACGUUGAUGUUUAAUUCCAUGCUAAAAUGUGUCCGAUUUUCAUACUAGUAAUAUGAUUGAUAGUGAAAUUUCGAUAUUGAUUGUUGUUUGACUGUUGUAAUACUUACCUGUCCCUUGAUAUUUCAUUCUGAGUGAAAAAUUAAACAUUCACCAUCACAUGUA
Molecule: long non-coding RNA, 498 nt
Organism: Coregonus clupeaformis (lake whitefish)
Lineage: Eukaryota; Metazoa; Chordata; Actinopteri; Salmoniformes; Salmonidae
Exons: 2
Source: RefSeq, a predicted model, not a curated record